UAUUAUUUUUAUAAUUUUUUCUUUUCCUUUAUCUCUUUUACUUUCUUUUAAUUAUUUUAAUUCUAAAUAAUAUACAUAAUCAAAAUAUUCAUCUCCAUUCAAUCAUCCCCCAUUUUAAUUUACAGAAAGCUCUCCUUCAUCCAGCCUCUUCCUCCACCUCUGAACAAUUUCAAGAUCUAAACUUCCCACCAUGGAUAUCAUAUCCAAAUCUCUCUCAAUAAGAGGAUCAGUAGCAUCAUCGAUUCAUCGUCCACUUUCCUCAAUAAUCACAUCUUGAGUUCCUUCUCUCUCUCUCUCCCACUUUUUUUUCUCUCUUCCACUUUUCUUGGCGCGGAGGGCUGCGACGGCGGCGACAGCGGCGGUGGCGGUGGCGGUGGCGGUGGCGGGGGAGUUGAUCUGUUUGUUGGUGGUGGUGUCUUGCACGAUUUCGUUAAAUAGAAUUGCAGAGAGCUUCAAAAUCAUGGUGAUCCCCCUUUCAGAAACCAAAGCCAAAAAAAUCCCCAAAUCCCUCAUUCAAAUCCCCAAAUCCAAACUCAGCCAAAUCAAAUCAAAAAGAAAUUCCUCAAAAAAAUCAUGGGAAAGUUUCAUAAUCUCAAAUGGAGUUGAUAAUCAAAUGGAAAGCAGUUGAUUGAUAAUCUCAGCCGAUUCUCUCACCGCUUGCCGUAAAUAUAGAAAGGAAAAGAUGAAUAGUAGAACAUGAACAGAAAGGUCUCAGCCAUUCUU
Molecule: long non-coding RNA, 723 nt
Filed under: Panax ginseng (ginseng)
Lineage: Eukaryota; Viridiplantae; Streptophyta; Magnoliopsida; Apiales; Araliaceae
Description: long non-coding RNA (PGIN_LNC000441)
Source: RNAcentral